This 660-nucleotide non-coding RNA is filed under the name Dipetalonema gracile. The record is from RNAcentral. Lineage: Eukaryota; Metazoa; Nematoda; Chromadorea; Rhabditida; Onchocercidae.
UUUUAAGUUUGAUUUUGGUUUUUGUUGUCUUAAGAUAGUAUUACUUAUUUUUAGUUUAUUGGGUGUGUUAUUUUUUUUUCACUGUUAGUUUUUUGUUUGUUUUAUUAGUGUUCCAGAAUAAUCGGCUAUGCACUUUUAAUUUUAACUCUAUUUGUUGUGAUGUUUUUUUUUGAUUUUAUUUUUUAUGUUUUUUCUGUAAAAUGUUUUAAUUUUUUUUUAUUUUGUGAUAAAUGUCUAAAAUUUGGUUUUUGAACUGGAUUAGUACCCAGGUAACCAAAGUUUAUUAAUUCGGGAGUAAAGUUGGGUUUAAACCGAAAAAAUAUUGACUGACUUUGGAUUUUUCUUUGGAAUAUGUUUUGGAGAGCCCUCCUUAGUGGUUUAUCUUUUUAGCUCAUGUAUGAUUGUCUAGUUUUUAUUUUUUUUUGUGAUGCUUUUUGUUUUGGCUUUUAAGACAGAUAUAUAUUUGGUUUAUAGAUUUAUUUGGUUUUUUUUAUGUAUUACUAUUAUUAAAAUUUUUAUUGGAUUAUUUUUUUAUUUUUUUAUGAAAUUGGAAAAGAAAGUAAUUUUUUUUUUAUGUUUUGAUGAAUUUAAUUAACGAAGUGGUACAAACCAUCCGUCAAUGGCCUAAAGGGGCGUAAGUUGUAGUAUGGUAGGGGUAAG